GUGCUUACUUCAGCAGCACAUAUACUAAAAUUAGAACAGUUUCGGCAUGAGUAUGGCCCCUGCACAAGGAUGACGUGCAGAUUCGUGAUACAUUCCUUAUUUUU
Piliocolobus tephrosceles (Ugandan red Colobus) is the source of this 104-nucleotide small nuclear RNA. The record is from Ensembl. Lineage: Eukaryota; Metazoa; Chordata; Mammalia; Primates; Cercopithecidae.